Long non-coding RNA from Hirundo rustica (Barn swallow), 737 nucleotides. RefSeq lists it as uncharacterized. Lineage: Eukaryota; Metazoa; Chordata; Aves; Passeriformes; Hirundinidae. The record is from RefSeq and is a predicted model, not a curated record. The transcript is spliced from 3 exons.
AAAGUGAUGACUAAAUGUACUGAUAUCAUUGAAUUCAUCCAUCUGAAUCUUAAUAAGAACAUAAAAACAAUGUUGGAGGAUAUGGCUGGUCACUGGCAGGGGAAAAGAUACUGUGGUCUGCCAAGGAUCAGUAGUUUCAAGCUGUUUCAAGCCCUGCAAUCCCCAGUACCAGGAACCAGCUACUGACAAUGUUUGCAUUCACACCGAACACCUCAUUAUAUAAGUUGUUAUGAAAAUGCAUAAAUCAAGGCAGAACUCAUGUCUUGGACUUUAAAGAGAUGAUUGCCAACACAAACCAUCCCUGUUUACCCCGCGUGAAGAUGAAUAAUGUGCUUCAGGUAGUCAAUUCUGUUGUGACCAGACUGUGAUGUUCAAACCAGCUGACUGAUGGCUGCAGACUUUGGAAAAGGGUUUCACUGCACUAGGAUGUGGCCACUGGAGUACUGCAGUGGUAUAAGUAAAGGUGCUCUCCCCGUGCCUACCUUUUUAACUGACAUUUGCAGCGCAUGGAUGAUGGUCUUCGUGUCUGCACAGACUCUUUGUGUUGAAGGCAGGUGUCUGCAAAGACCAACAUCAUUUGUUGCGGGUCUAACAGCAGGAAAAUCUCCGUAACUCGCUGAUGCCAAAGCAAGCUGUUCAGCUUCUAUCAUGCUGAUGGAGAAAUUAAAGGGUAGCAGACUAACAUGUCUUGAUAAUUGCUCUAAAGUAUCUUCAAAAUGCAAAUUAAAGGACAAGUU